This 331-nucleotide unclassified non-coding RNA is filed under the name soil metagenome. RNAcentral describes it as "partial contains 5.8S ribosomal RNA, internal transcribed spacer 2, and large subunit ribosomal RNA". The stretch from base 1 to 120 matches the Rfam family "5.8S ribosomal RNA", at positions 35 to 154 of the family's 154-position model. The record is from RNAcentral.
GAUGAAGAACGUAGCGAAAUGCGAUAAGUAAUGUGAAUUGCAGAAUUCAGUGAAUCAUCGAAUCUUUGAACGCACAUUGCGCCCCUUGGUAUUCCGGGGGGCAUGCCUGUUCGAGCGUCAUUAUCACCCCUCAAGCUCAGCUUGGUGUUGGGGCCGGCCCGUCACAGGGCCGCCCCUAAAAGCAGUGGCGGUGCCAUCUGGCUCUACGCGUAGUAAUACUCCUCGCGACAGAGUCCCGGUGGUCUCCUGCCAGAACCCCCCAUUUUUUAAUGAUUGACCUCGGAUCAGGUAGGGAUACCCGCUGAACUUAAGCAUAUCAAUAAGCGGAGGA